This 1404-nucleotide ribosomal RNA is filed under the name Enterococcus durans. Its description in RNAcentral is "bacterial SSU rRNA". It matches the Rfam family "Bacterial small subunit ribosomal RNA", at positions 65 to 1442 of the family's 1533-position model. Lineage: Bacteria; Bacillati; Bacillota; Bacilli; Lactobacillales; Enterococcaceae. The record is from RNAcentral.
UACGCUUCUUUUUCACCGGAGCUUGCUCCACCGGAAAAAGAAGAGUGGCGAACGGGUGAGUAACACGUGGGUAACCUGCCCAUCAGAAGGGGAUAACACUUGGAAACAGGUGCUAAUACCGUAUAACAAUCGAAACCGCAUGGUUUUGAUUUGAAAGGCGCUUUCGGGUGUCGCUGAUGGAUGGACCCGCGGUGCAUUAGCUAGUUGGUGAGGUAACGGCUCACCAAGGCCACGAUGCAUAGCCGACCUGAGAGGGUGAUCGGCCACAUUGGGACUGAGACACGGCCCAAACUCCUACGGGAGGCAGCAGUAGGGAAUCUUCGGCAAUGGACGAAAGUCUGACCGAGCAACGCCGCGUGAGUGAAGAAGGUUUUCGGAUCGUAAAACUCUGUUGUUAGAGAAGAACAAGGAUGAGAGUAACUGUUCAUCCCUUGACGGUAUCUAACCAGAAAGCCACGGCUAACUACGUGCCAGCAGCCGCGGUAAUACGUAGGUGGCAAGCGUUGUCCGGAUUUAUUGGGCGUAAAGCGAGCGCAGGCGGUUUCUUAAGUCUGAUGUGAAAGCCCCCGGCUCAACCGGGGAGGGUCAUUGGAAACUGGGAGACUUGAGUGCAGAAGAGGAGAGUGGAAUUCCAUGUGUAGCGGUGAAAUGCGUAGAUAUAUGGAGGAACACCAGUGGCGAAGGCGGCUCUCUGGUCUGUAACUGACGCUGAGGCUCGAAAGCGUGGGGAGCAAACAGGAUUAGAUACCCUGGUAGUCCACGCCGUAAACGAUGAGUGCUAAGUGUUGGAGGGUUUCCGCCCUUCAGUGCUGCAGCUAACGCAUUAAGCACUCCGCCUGGGGAGUACGACCGCAAGGUUGAAACUCAAAGGAAUUGACGGGGGCCCGCACAAGCGGUGGAGCAUGUGGUUUAAUUCGAAGCAACGCGAAGAACCUUACCAGGUCUUGACAUCCUUUGACCACUCUAGAGAUAGAGCUUCCCCUUCGGGGGCAAAGUGACAGGUGGUGCAUGGUUGUCGUCAGCUCGUGUCGUGAGAUGUUGGGUUAAGUCCCGCAACGAGCGCAACCCUUAUUGUUAGUUGCCAUCAUUUAGUUGGGCACUCUAGCAAGACUGCCGGUGACAAACCGGAGGAAGGUGGGGAUGACGUCAAAUCAUCAUGCCCCUUAUGACCUGGGCUACACACGUGCUACAAUGGGAAGUACAACGAGUCGCGAAGUCGCGAGGCUAAGCUAAUCUCUUAAAGCUUCUCUCAGUUCGGAUUGUAGGCUGCAACUCGCCUACAUGAAGCCGGAAUCGCUAGUAAUCGCGGAUCAGCACGCCGCGGUGAAUACGUUCCCGGGCCUUGUACACACCGCCCGUCACACCACGAGAGUUUGUAACACCCGAAGUCGGUGAGGUAACCUU